UGGGGUAUAUUGCACAAUGGGCGAAAGCCUGAUGCAGCGACGCCGCGUGGGGGAUGAAGGCCUUCGGGUUGUAAACUUCUUUUGCUCUGAACAAGGCAUGCUAAUGGGUGUGUUGAGUGUAGGGGUUGAUUAGCGCCGGCUAACUACGUGCCAGCAGCCGCGGUAAUACGUAGGGCGCGAGCGUGGUCCGGAAUUAUUGGGCGUAAAGGGCUUGUAGGUGGCUGGUUGCGUCUGUCGUGAAAGCUCAUGGCUUAACUGGGGGUUUGCGGUGGGUACGGGCUGGCUUGAGUGAAGUAGGAGAGGCUAUAAUUACUGGUGUAGCGGUGGAAUGCGCGGAUAGCAGGAGGAAUGACGGUGGCGAAGGAGGGUGUCUGGGUUGUUACUGACACUGAGGAGCGAAAGCAUGGGGAGCGAACAGG
This 419-nucleotide ribosomal RNA is filed under the name bacterium. RNAcentral's name for it is "partial 16S ribosomal RNA". It matches the Rfam family "Bacterial small subunit ribosomal RNA", at positions 355 to 776 of the family's 1533-position model. The record is from RNAcentral.